UCACUCAGGGGCAGGGUGAGGUGCCUCUUGUUCUGCCUCUUCCUCCUGUUCUUGUUAUGACCCUGCUUUGUCCUUCUUUACUAAACAAGCCAUCUUUCCUGGGCAUUCCUUUUCCUUUUUUGAGGGGCAACUGCUACAGACAGGGGGUGGUCCUCUGGUUCAGCUGCAUCACCCACCCCUGGGGUGAGUAGUGACAGUGUCUGUGAUUACUGGAGUUUGAGUGCCCACUGUGCCUGUCGUGGGGGUUGGAGUAACUACAAAUAAUUUUUUGACCCUAAACAAGAGCUGAACCACGUUCAGCCACUGCUGGUUCCUACCAAUAGAACCAUGCUGGUUCCAACAUCCCAAGUGUAUUCAAAAUUCUCCUAAUUCUCAAAUGCUCUGGUAAUUAGGCUGGAGAAGAAAGGGAGGCUGUGGGAAGAUGUCUGUCCUGCAUAGGCCGGUUUCCCGAGGAAUCGGGUAAAAGAUGCAAUUGUGAAUAGUUCCCAACAGGUGUCUCCCCACGCACAGGUGAUGGCAGCGCUGAGACACGCCCAGGUGAAUUAAAACAAUUAAACCCCUCAGCCCUGCCCCGAAGGCAACGAACACAACAGGGUGCAGUAGUGCAAGCCAGGUGUUGGAGAUCACAGCUCUGAGAGCAAACUAAUCAACACGGUGUGGCCAGUGGCUGUCAAACCACAAGGAAUGCUUGUAACAAACUUGUUUCAACAUGCCCUGGUCAGAUCUGUGGUUAAUUUCGAGUCCCACGCUGGGUGCUGAAAAGGGCUGCUGUUGUUUAGCCCAGUUGGUAACCAAGCGUCCUCCCUCACCCACCCCACUCCCAGGGACACAAGGAGAAGGACUGGAAAAAGGAAAAACCUAGAAACCACCAUAAAGCGACUGCCACUGCUCCUGCCAUGGCUGUCAGGACAAAUGCAGCAAUGACUCCUUUCUGCCAAGCUGCUAAGAUGACUGCAAAUAAGAAAAACAGGUUUAAGAGAGUAGUUACAGUGACAGGUCAGCACUACCAAAUUCUGUAGUUCCUGACCUUUCAUUUUACUACACAUCAACCUUCUUACACACUGGGGAAGAUCUUGGAAGAGACUUGUGUGCCAAGUUUUCUAGUGAGCCUCUCCUUUGUGACCAAAAGCUCAAGCGUGUGAUCAACAGCUUGGUUUUAGCUUGCAUCUUGCUCCUUUGGCUUUUGGGCAUCCCCUUGAUUUUUCUAUAAUUAAUAUUUCUAAGCUGGACAACCUCAGUUUAUAGAGACAUCUCUCUGACUUCUGACAGCAGUGGAACAAAAACCACCAGUAAGGUGGCAUUCACCACUCCAGUAAGGGAGUUAUACAGAGGAACAUCUCAAAUCAGAUGGCCUGACCUGUAAAGGUGACAGAAUUGGCAGCUUAUCAUUAAGGAGCUCACCACUGAUGGUUAUUGGACGGCUCCUCACGUCCACGCUGGCUCGGUUUGAAGCCAUGCAAUAAUAGGUCCCUGUGUCCUUCCUCUUCAUUGUUUUCUUGUGCCAUAUGGUUCUGUCUGAAUAUUCCCUUACUUCGUGUAGAAGAACUUCAUGAUCAGUUUUUUUAAAAAACUUGAAGUCAAUUGGCCAAGAUCCUUCCUUCACAGAGCAGAGGAAAGCAGCAUCACUGCCAACUUCUACUUCUCCAUACGGAACGCUGCCCAAACUGGCAUCCCUGAUUGGUACUACAGAGGAAGGCACAAAGAAAGCAAAUAUUAGCACUAUUAGAAAUAACUUUGAUGACAAAAUAUUGUAUUGUAGAAAUGCUUGCUUUAAUGCUUAGUUAAACAGAGACUGAAUGCACAGUAUUAAUCUUUCUGAACAGUCUCUGCCAGACAGCAUCCUCUAGUAAAUAUUUUUAUAGACCCAGAAAUAGAGAGGGCAUGACAAAGAAACAAAGCAGACACAGGAAAAAAUUAUAUCCAUUCCAGAGAGGUCAGUCAGUCUCUUUCCUCAAAACCUUCAGAUGCCCCUCUGGCCCCAGCCUACAAAUGAUUUAAUUUCCAGAAAUAAUACACUCAGCAGUUCCAUUGUUUAAAUAAUUAUGGUGCAAUUUAUGUAGUUCUGCUUUCAUAGUUAUGUAGAGUUAUGCUGGUUUAUGCUAAUUCUGUGAUAAGUGUGUUCUUGUAACUUUUAAUAUACAAUUGAGGGAGUCAGGAGAUAAUGGAUCAAGUUCUCCAAAGGCAUAAGCAAAUCCCAAAUUUCAAUGGUUACAGAAGAUAGCAAACACAAGGAGAGAAGUUAGUUUGCAUUCAAAGAAGUUGUAAGAAUAUGCAUAGCCAAACCAUAGAUUUUAAGUCUGCUGGUUUACAAAUGAAGCACAUGAGCAUACACAGAACUGGCCUAGGAGCAGAUGAGUUUCAGUCUUUGUUUCAAGGGGAGAAAAUGGACACACAUUGUGUGAUGCAAGACAUGUAGAAUAUCGGCAGCUUUGCAAAAUGUUUGGGAUAUGAAGCAGGUUUUGCUAAAAUUCCCAAAGAAAAAUUCUCUGGAAAUAUUAUAAAUGUGUUUGGGGAAGAGCUGUAGAUAACACAAGGCAGUUAUAAAGAAGGAAUCAUUAAAGCAACACUGGUACAGAAGCAGAGGAAGGAAACCAGAUUUGACAUGAAAAGAUGGUGGCCAUGGAAGCUGUAUUUGUGUUAGGAAGCAGAUUUAGAUAUAAGACAUGGGUUACUAAGACUGAGCCCCUGACAGAGAGAAUUGCUCUGGAAAACAUAAGUCCUUUUCCAGGUCUGGUACAGCCAGAAAGGACAGAAUACAGAGAAUUUGAAGUCACCACCUCACCAGUGAUGGACUGUGGAAGACUGGCUAACAGGGCUCCAAAUAAUGACCUUCUCUUCAGAACUUCUAAACAGUGUCACAAUACAUCCCAAACCACAGCUCUGACAGCUGGGAUACACCAAUUCCAGCAAAGAAAUAUCCACUUGUUAAUGGACUAAAAUUAUUAUUUGUGCUUGUUUAUUUGUACCUUGCUAUUUCAAAAUACCUUGACUUCAAAUCUCCCUAGAUACAAUUCUUCAGAGUUUUAUCAUUUAGCUUCUCUCUACUGUUAGUAAAUGGUGGAAUUGAUGAAUUUCAGGUGAGUCCUAAUGAGCUGUAGUCUGGGUGAAUGCAAAUACUGUAUUUAAAAGCCCUGUUUGGGAGCUCAGCAAGUGGAGAGUGCAAUAAUCCAACUGACUCAGAAGAAAUGCAAAAAUUCUGGAUUUAUCUGUUCUAGUCAUACACAACUCAGUGUCAAAACUCAGAAGGAAAACAGCCUAUUAACCACAAGUUUAUCUUAUUGAGACCAACACCAUUUGGGUUUAAACUAGGAUGCAAAGCUGAAAACUCCUUGGUAGAGAGAAAUUACCUCUUCUUUUUCAAAGAUCAAGAAUUGACUUUUGCUCUGGUCCUGGACUACAGUGCUGUGAUAGGCAACUAUUUUAACUCAAGUGAGCAAGAACUUGUAAACAUUUCACAUCCAUUUUGCUUAGUCCACUGUUUGUUGCUACGGUUUCAAAACUCUAAAUAUUACAUUAGACAAGAAGAAGAAGAAUUAAACAGACUUACCUAUCACUGUGACAUUUAGAAUAUUGCUAGUUUUCACACCACUGGAGUGAUUGUUUCUAGCAUCACAUUUGUACCCUCCAUUGUCAUUUAGUCCAAUAUCUUCAUCCAAGAACGUAGCAUAUGUGUCAUUAGUCACAUUUUUCUUAAUUUCAUCCCCUUUGUAGAAUGUGAAAGUUAUUGGUGGUGUUCCCAUCACUGAAUGACAGAUUAAUUGUAGAGGCUUCCCUAAUACCACCUCUGGUGAGCCGCUGACAACGGAAAGAGUUGGCUUGGAGACUGGAGCUAAAAGGUGAAUUUAAAAAAAAAUGUUGCAAAUUACACUGCAUAAAGCCAAAAGACACAAUAUUAUUUUGUAGAAAACAUAAAUAUACAAUAUUUAGCUAGUUUGCAGACACAGUCUAUAUUGGGAAGCUCUUAUCAAUAGAAUGGAAAUGGGGGAAUUUGAAUAAAUCAAUAGCAUAGAUAAUAGAACAUACUUGAAUUUGAAUAAAGCAGCAUACAGGGACAAUAUGAAGCAAAACAAGGAAAGGAUCAGUGACAUAGCUGUAGAUCAUCCAAAUUCCAAAAGCAGUUCUGACCCAAGGAACAAGUCUGCUCCAUGUAUGACCUGAGAGAGACUGCACAGCUCCUCCUCAGGGCCCUGCUCCAGCAGCACAGUGAACAAUCCAGUUCAUCCCCUGGCAGACUGGAGAGCCACUGUGCCUGUUCCAGGAGAGGGAAGGGCACUGGAGUACUCAGAGCUGCUGAGGGGGCUGUGCUUUUGGCAAUGAACCCCUGGAUUUUCUAGAGCAGAGCCAAGCAGAUGACCUCUGGCUCUCCUGGCUUUCUGCCUGGAGGGGCAGGGGCAGGGAUUCAAGGCAGACACUGAGAAAGCUUCAGAUCAAUGUGAAAGUUUUGCAGAACGUUCCUGGCCCUGCAAAUGGCAGUGAAUGAGAGUUUAUCUGGUCCCUAGCAGAACCCAGGGACCAGCAGGAAGCCAUUCCAACCCCUUCUCCGAGGGCCAGCCCUGGAAAGUAUGACUUGAUUAUAUCACAAUACACCAAAUCCUCUGCAGCUAAAGCACAUCCCACAGAAAUUCAUGUUGUAAGAACUAACAGACACCCUGCUAGUUCAUGGACUAGAGACUGAUUCUGUAAACAGAUGUCCUUAUUUAUAAGCUUCUGGUUUAGAUCCUUCCCCCACCCUGGUGGUUCUAAGCUCUGUGUCAACUCACCAUAAACGCUUAUCCUUACAGGUUUGCUCUCCUUGACUAUUCCUUUUACUUCAGCUUUGCAGGUGUAAGAUCCAGUAUCAUUCACAUUAACUUUAAUUGCCAAGACUCUAGAUUUUUUCAGCAGGAUGUCUCCACUGGAACUUUUCCUUAGUAUGGAGAAGUUGGCUCUCCGUAAACCAUUAAUGCUGCAGUUCAAAAUUAAAUCUUUAUUUUCAUCCAACUUAGUCAUAGAAGCAGACAGUGUUGGCCUGGGGAAUAAUUCUGCAAGAUAAAAAGAGAGCUGAUCCAUUCAAAAUGAGCCUGGAAGAAUAUGACUACUUAUCUCAAAGUAUACAGAAUGAAGGACAUACUGAUAGUUUAUAAUUUGGGAACAAAACAAUUGUGUUAUUUUCAGGGAAAACAGAAACUUAGCAUUUGCUUGAAACCACUUUUCACAGAUUGUUUGAGGAUAUUAUUUUAGCUGGGAAGUAUAGGUGGGCAAAAAUCAGAAACUAAAAUCUAAUCAGCCUUUAACUUACAGAAAAUUUACACUUGGAUCUGGAGGUUACACUUGGAUCCCGAGUUCUGCCAAAUUUAAAUAUUAAUACUUUGAGUAAAAUCUAGAGGUUUUACCUGACACAAAGACAUUCAGUUUGGUGAUUUUAGACACUGCUCCUUGCUCCACCUUACACAGGUAUUCACCACUGUCCUCUUGAGUAGCUAGUGUAGAGUAUUUCAAAAGUUUCUUAUCUCGUACACUGUUCAGUAUUGUUCUGUUUUUCUGGAAGAUGAUUUCAAUGCCACGCAUUUGAGCUACCACGGUUGAGCAUUCAAAUUCUAUGUGGUCUCCUUCUGUAAUGUUAUUGGAGGGCCUGGUGAUCAGAGUGGGCUUUAUAAAUGGUUCUGCAAGAGAAUACAUAUAAACAGAUUGAUAUACUUAUUAAUAUGUGACCCAAUUUUUAUCUCUAGCUAGCAAAGAAAUGUAAAAAGAAAAGUUAAACAACUUACCCUUGACUGUAACAAGCGUUUUGUUGCUAUGUUGGGAGCUUUCCCAUCCAGAUCUUACUUGUCUCUUGCCAAAGCAAUCAAAUUGUAAAAUAUCAUCGCCUGCUUCAACGUAAUAUUCCAUUUCAGAAAAAUUUUGGUUUUGUUCAGGUAUACGUUUUUCUAUAGGCUCUGAAUUUGUCUUUA
Molecule: long non-coding RNA, 5930 nt
Organism: Passer domesticus (house sparrow)
Lineage: Eukaryota; Metazoa; Chordata; Aves; Passeriformes; Passeridae
Exons: 2
Source: RefSeq, a predicted model, not a curated record